CGACACUUUAGUGCCGCUAAAAAUAGCAGUGCUUUACCGCCACUGCCCCUCCCGCCCCAGUGUGACAGCCUAAUGGUUUCUGUCGUUGUGUAACUGCUUUCCCGUAUGUGGUAUGGGCAGACAGCUUACACUGAGUGUCUGCCAGAGCCAUGCAUUGCACCUGUGAUCUACUGAUCGUGGGUGCAAUGCUUUCCAAUGAGAAAAAUUACAUUUUUCCUACCUCCUGCAUUCUUUUUUGUAAAAGGUGAACUUAUCCAUUAAAUCCUAUGUAUCUGUUCAAACUGUAGGUGCACUUCACUUUGAAAAAAGCCCUGCAUGCUGCAUCUUUGGUGCAGUUUUUCAAAAGCGCAAGAAAGGCCACCUUUCAUUGUAAGUCAAUGGGAACGCAUCAAAAGCAUAUCAAAGUGAAAGGGCCCAUAAAUUUUACAAAAGCGCGUCGGUGUGAAAGAACCUUGUAGUAGUGUGCCACUUAAGUGCACAUCACUCUGUCGCCCAAGGAGAGCCUUCCGCUUACAUCUAUGAAAUCACUACUCAAUCCAGAUGCUACUGAAUCUCCUUUGCUAGCGAGGGAGCAACCUUUAGCUCUCCUGGCUGAUGAGGAAGCGACUCCAGAGAAACAGGAAGUGGUCUCUUAGCGAUCCUGAUGUGAGCGCCUGGAUCACUCAUGUGAUCUCUUAGCGAUCCUGACGUGAGCGCCUGGAUCACUCAUGUGGUCUCUUAGCGAUCCUGACGUGAGCGCCUGGAUCACUCAUGUGGUCUCUUGGCGAUCCUGAAGUGAGCGCCUGUAUCACUCAUGUGGUCUCUUGGCGAUCCUGACGUGAGCGCCUGGAUCACUCAUGUGGUCUCUUGGCGAUCCUGACGUGAGCGCCUGGAUCACUCAUGUGGUCUCUUAGCGAUCCUGACGUGAGCGCCUGGAUCACUCAUGUGGUCUCUUGGCGAUCCUGACGUGAGCGCCUGGAUCACUCAUGUGGUCUCUUGGCGAUCCUGACGUGAGCGCCUGGAUCACUCAUGUGGUCUCUUGGCGAUCCUGACGUGAGCGCCUGGAUCACUCAUGUGGCCUCUUGGCGAUCCUGACGUGAACCCCUGGAUCACUCAUGUGACAUAGCACCGCCCUGUCUCUCUGCCUUUCCUAACUGCAGCCCUUGACUACAUAGAGUUCUGUAUGUAGAACUAUUAAUUUUAAAAAUAAAAUAAAAAAAGGUUUCUUGAGUGUACAACCGUUCUUGCUGGUGCUUUUUAUCUGAAGCUCUUUAAGUAUGAAUUGAACUGGUUUGCUGUAAAUAUCUUAACUAGGUUGAGACUUUGGUCUUCUAAAUCAUCUUAUUAAAAAAGACGACCUGAUUUUUCGUUGCUUGUUAUAUGGAAAGUGCAUAGGUAAUAUAAUGUAAUCUAUACUUUAGAAGCUAACCUUUUGCUACAACAAAAUUAUAUUUAAACUGUAUCAUUUAGAAAAAAAAUUAACGGGCUACUUAAAUUACAUGUAGCUGUAAUAAUAAAGAAUUUUAAUUGAAUUUUGCCACAGGAAAGUGAUUUAUAUAUUGUAUGUGUGGUAUGCAUAAUUAUUUCAGGGCUAUGAAACUGGAAACUGGAAUAUUAUUUAUUGCUAACUAUUGGGAACCUUUCAUUAAUAUUUAUUGUUCACUAUUGGAUAACUUUUCAUGAAUGUUUGCUGUCAUGCUUCUUCAGAGAGGCCGGAGGCCCAGUAAAAUCCAUGCUAGAUAAUGUCCAACACACGUGACAGAGCCUCAGAUACAUCUGUCCUACAACAAGAGGCAGCUGUUACAUAGCACUAAUAUUCAUGGUGAUUACACCGAGGUAAUGGUAAUGUAUUGGAACGGACAACUGUCCUUCGUCCACACCAGUAACCUUCACCCUUUUUGUUCUGUAACCUGCUCCAAAAGGAAAGUUCCGUUCAUACAUAAUACUCUUUCUUAUAUUGUCCCACAAAAUGACUGCCCCCGCUGUGUCUAGUCAGUGGGCGCACUUUAUCUGUAAUUUCAUUCUUUUACCAAAGCCAACAAAACAGCAGGGAUUUACAACUUUACAUUUUAGAUAUUCAUACCAGAUGAAAUAUAUUUCAUAGCAUUUUAUUGUAUUUAUCUUGGAAACACAUUUACAGAUGGCAUAGCAGAAUAAUGCCUGCUGUUCAACCUAUAUUUUCUCCCAGAAUCCUUCGCAAGGCAACCUUUUUUCAGAGAGGACAAAUCUUCAACAUUUCUAGAGUCGCUAAAUACUGACAUGAAAUCUAUGACCUAGCUGUGCUUUGCUGUAAAGAAAGUAAACAUUUUUAAUUCUUCAUAUGAAAUAAAAAAAAAAACUGACAGGA
This is a long non-coding RNA of Rana temporaria (common frog), 2326 nucleotides long. RefSeq lists it as uncharacterized. The transcript is spliced from 2 exons. NCBI's taxonomy places the organism in Eukaryota, Metazoa, Chordata, Amphibia, Anura, Ranidae. The record is from RefSeq and is a predicted model, not a curated record.